RNAcentral lists this ribosomal RNA (399 nucleotides) under uncultured bacterium. Its description in RNAcentral is "partial 16S ribosomal RNA". It matches the Rfam family "Bacterial small subunit ribosomal RNA", at positions 360 to 774 of the family's 1533-position model. The record is from RNAcentral.
AAUAUUGCACAAUGGAGGGAACUCUGAUGCAGCAACGCCGCGUGAGUGAAGAAGGUUUUCGGAUCGUAAAACUCUGUCAUUGGGGAAGAAUAAAUGACGGUACCCAAUGAGGAAGCCUCGGCUAACUACGUGCCAGCAGCCGCGGUAAUACGAAGGGGACGAGCGUUGUCCGGAAUUACUGGGCGUAAAGGGCGUGUAGGCUGUUUGGCAAGUCAGGUUUGAAAUCUUAAGGCUCAACCUUAAGACUGCGCCUGAAACUGACAGGCUUGAGGGCAGGAGAGGAGAGCGGAAUUCCCGGUGUAGCGGUGAAACGCGUAGAUAUUGUGAGGAACACCAGUGGCGAAGGCGGCUCUCUGGACUGUAACUGACGCUGAGGCGCGAAAGCGUGGGGAGCAAACA